Molecule: ribosomal RNA, 253 nt
Filed under: uncultured bacterium
Lineage: Bacteria
Description: partial 16S ribosomal RNA
Rfam family: Bacterial small subunit ribosomal RNA
Source: RNAcentral
UACGGGGGGGGCAAGCGUUGUUCGGAAUUACUGGGCGUAAAGGGCUCGUAGGCGGCCAACUAAGUCGGAUGUGAAAUCCCCAGGCUUAACCUGGGAACUGCAUCCGAUACUGGAUGGCUUGAAUCCGGGAGAGGGAUGCAGAAUUCCUGGUGUAGCGGUGAAAUGCGCAGAUAUCAGGAAGAACACCCGUGGCGAAGGCGGUUCUCUGGGACGGUACUGACGCUGAGACGCGAAAGCGUGGGGAGCGAACAGG